CCUACGGGAGGCAGCAGUCGAGAAUCAUUCACAAUGGGGGAAACCCUGAUGGUGCGACGCCGCGUGGGGGAAUGAAGGUCUUCGGAUUGUAAACCCCUGUCAUGUGGGAGCAAAUUAAAACGAAAGUACCACAAGAGGAAGAGACGGCUAACUCUGUGCCAGCAGCCGCGGUAAUACAGAGGUCUCAAGCGUUGUUCGGAAUCACUGGGCGUAAAGCGUGCGUAGGCUGUUUCGUAAGUCGUGUGUGAAAGGCGCGGGCUCAACCCGCGGACGGCACAUGAUACUGCGAGACUAGAGUAAGGGAGGGGGAACCGGAAUUCUCGGUGUAGCAGUGAAAUGCGUAGAUAUCGAGAGGAACACUCGUGGCGAAGGCGGGUUCCUGGACAGUAACUGACGCUGAGGCACGAAGGCCAGGGGAGCGAAAGGGAUUAGAUACCCUGGUAGUC
Molecule: ribosomal RNA, 446 nt
Filed under: uncultured bacterium
Lineage: Bacteria
Description: partial 16S ribosomal RNA
Rfam family: Bacterial small subunit ribosomal RNA
Source: RNAcentral